GAUCAUUACAGUAUUCUUUUGCCAGCGCUAACUGCGCGGCGAAACCUUACACACAGUGUCUUUUUGAUACAGAACUCUUGCUUUGGUUUGGCCUAGAGAUAGGUUGGGCCAGAGGUUUAACAAACACACAAUUUAAUUAUUUUUACAGUUAGUCAAAUUUUGAAUUAAUCUUCAAAACUUUCAACAACGGAUCUCUUGGUUCUCGCAUCGAUGAAGAACGCAGCGAAAUGCGAUAAGUAAUAUGAAUUGCAGAUUUUCGUGAAUCAUCGAAUCUUUGAACGCACAUUGCGCCCUCUGGUAUUCCAGAGGGCAUGCCUGUUUGAGCGUCAUUUCUCUCUCAAACCCCCGGGUUUGGUAUUGAGUGAUACUCUUAGUCGGACUAGGCGUUUGCUUGAAAAGUAUUGGCAUGGGUAGUACUGGAUAGUGCUGUCGACCUCUCAAUGUAUUAGGUUUAUCCAACUCGUUGAAUGGUGUGGCGGGAUAUUUCUGGUAUUGUUGGCCCGGCCUUACAACAACCAAACAAGUUUGACCUCAAAUCAGGUAGGAAUACCCGCUGAACUUAAGCAUAUCAAUAAGCGGAGGA
This 583-nucleotide ribosomal RNA is filed under the name Meyerozyma guilliermondii. RNAcentral describes it as "eukaryotic LSU rRNA". The stretch from base 176 to 329 matches the Rfam family "5.8S ribosomal RNA". The record is from RNAcentral. Lineage: Eukaryota; Fungi; Ascomycota; Pichiomycetes; Serinales; Debaryomycetaceae.